Molecule: long non-coding RNA, 857 nt
Organism: Peromyscus leucopus (white-footed mouse)
Lineage: Eukaryota; Metazoa; Chordata; Mammalia; Rodentia; Cricetidae
Exons: 4
Source: RefSeq, a predicted model, not a curated record
UGCCAAGUAGUUGUCUCUGAGAAAUCCUGAUUUGCCUAAUUUAAGGGAAGUUUAUUAUUUCAUUAAGAAUAAAAAUGAAGAAAGCUUAUUAUUUCAUUAAGAACAAAAAUGGUAGGCUGAACCCAUAACUAGUCAAGGUGCAAAGAGUAAGAGCCUGUGCAAUGUUUAGCCCUAAUAAGAUCCCUGUAUAUCCCUAAUAAGAGGCAGAGCAUCACCAAAGGAAAUGGUGCUUUCUGGAUAGAGCAGGGCACAGAAGAAUUCCAGCAAUUGUGACAUCAUAUAUGAUGAGAUCUAGCCAAGACAAAAUGCCAGCACAGACAGCAGAGGUAGGGUGAAGUUUUACCCUGAGCUGAACUACUGGCAAUCACAGCUGCUGGGAUAAGGAGAGUCAACGUGCUUUAAGAAUGGAGCCUAAAAGGAUUACUUGUCAGGAACCUGGCUUCAUCAAUUACAAUAGAAGAAAGCCUGUUUAGAGAAAACUACUUUAUGGGGGUGGGCGGGAUGACUUUGGGACAUCUGAAAUACCUUGACCUAUGAUGUCAUGUCCUCCAAGGAGUCUGAGCCGGCAAUUCUUCACUGGCAAUGAAGUCACCUGUCACCUCACAAGUGUACAGACCAAUGAGAACUCGUGUUCUAUCUGGGGCCCAAAUUGCGAAUUCACAAAAAGCCACUUGCCUGUGGCUCUACAGUCCUGGCACAGACUGGAGCUGCAUGUGGCUGGAGUCACCCCCACCCCCAGAUACAGCUUGCCAUAAGGGAACCUCCUCAAAAUUAGGGUUGGGAAAGGGUUUUGUUUCUGUCUUUUGAAGAGAAUGAAGGCAUCCAGCUAAGGAAUCUGAAAACCACUGGACAAAUGA